CGCUCGUAGCAAUACGGGACUGGCGGAUGGGUGAGUAACGCGUGGGAACGUGCCCUGAGGUACGGAAUAACUGCGGGAAACUGCAGCUAAUACCGUAUGAGCCCCGUGAGGGGGAAAGAUUUAUCGCCUUAGGAGCGGCCCGCGUCGGAUUAGCUAGUUGGUGGGGUAACGGCUUACCAAGGCUUCGAUCCGUAGCUGGUCUGAGAGGACGAUCAGCCACACUGGGACUGAGACACGGCCCAGACUCCUACGGGAGGCAGCAGUGGGGAAUCUUGCGCAAUGGGGGCAACCCUGGCGCAGCCAUGCCGCGUGAAUGAUGAAGGCCUUAGGGUUGUAAAGUUCUUUUGCCCGUGACGAUGAUGACGGUAACGGGAGAAUAAGCUCCGGCUAACUUCGUGCCAGCAGCCGCGGUAAUACGAAGGGGGCUAGCGUUGUUCGGAAUUACUGGGCGUAAAGCGCGCGCAGGCGGUUCGAUAAGUUAGGGGUGAAAUCCCUGGGCUCAACCCAGGAAUGGCCUUUAAGACUGUCGAGCUAGAGGACGAGAGAGGUGAGUGGAAUUCCCAGUGUAGAGGUGAAAUUCAUAGAUAUUGGGAAGAACACCGGUGGCGAAGGCGGCUCACUGGCUCGUUUCUGACGCUGA
RNAcentral lists this ribosomal RNA (640 nucleotides) under uncultured bacterium. RNAcentral's name for it is "bacterial SSU rRNA". It matches the Rfam family "Bacterial small subunit ribosomal RNA", at positions 69 to 749 of the family's 1533-position model. The record is from RNAcentral.